CCCGGCGACCGGCGCACGGGUGAGUAACACGUAUGCAACCUGGCCGUGACAGAUGGAUAACCGGGAGAAAUCCCGCCUAAUACAACAUAAUGCCCGGGAGGGGACAUCCCCUGCCGGUCAAAGGGGGCGACCCCGGUCAUGGAUGGGCAUGCGGCGCAUUAGGUAGUUGGUGGGGCAACGGCCCACCAAGCCGACGAUGCGUAGGGGUUCUGAGAGGAAGGUCCCCCACAUUGGAACUGAGACACGGUCCAAACUCCUACGGAAGGCAGCAG
This 272-nucleotide ribosomal RNA is filed under the name uncultured bacterium. RNAcentral describes it as "partial 16S ribosomal RNA". It matches the Rfam family "Bacterial small subunit ribosomal RNA", at positions 87 to 354 of the family's 1533-position model. The record is from RNAcentral.